Molecule: transfer RNA, 71 nt
Filed under: Camelus bactrianus (Bactrian camel)
Lineage: Eukaryota; Metazoa; Chordata; Mammalia; Artiodactyla; Camelidae
Also listed under: 2 other names
Rfam family: tRNA
About the family: Transfer RNA (tRNA) molecules are approximately 80 nucleotides in length.
Source: Rfam by way of RNAcentral
GAGGGUACAGCUCAGUGGUAGAGCAAAUGCUCAGCAUGCGUGAGGCCUUGGUUCAAUCCCCAGUACCUACA